GGAAAUAGACAUUUGGAGUGCAGGUGUUAUGCUUUAUAUACUACUCAGUGGUGUGCCUCCAUUUUGGGCAGAAACCGAGAAGGGUAUAUUUGAUGCCAUACUUAAAGGGACCAUUGACUUUGAAAGCAAGCCUUGGCCAUCUGUAUCAAGUAGUGCCAAGGACCUUGUACAGAAGAUGCUGACUAAAGAUCCAAAGAAACGGAUUACAGCUGCACAGGUUCUUGAGCAUCCUUGGCUGAAGGAAGGUGGUGUUGCAUCAGACAAACCAUUAGAGGGUGCUGUCCUAUCAAGAAUGAAGCAAUUCAGAGCUAUGAACAAACUCAAGAAACUCGCUUUGAAGGUCAUUGCCGAGAAUCUCUCUGCGGAAGAAAUUCACGGGCUCAAAGCAAUGUUCCACAAUAUUGACACUGAUAAUAGUGGCACUAUAACUUAUGAAGAACUGAAGAGUGGAUUGGCUAAACUUGGGUCAAAGCUCACCGAGGCUGAAGUCAAGCAAUUGAUGGAAGCUGCUGAUGUAGAUGGAAAUGGCUCAAUCGACUACACUGAAUUCAUCACCGCCACCAUGCAUAAGCACAGGCUAGAAAGAGACGAAAAUCUAUAUACUGCAUUUCAGUAUUUCGAUAAAGAUAGCAGUGGGUUCAUUACAAGAGAUGAACUCGAGGCUGCUAUGGAAGAACAUGGAAUAGGUGAUCCAUCCUGUAUUAGGGAAAUCAUAUCUGAAGUGGACACAGACAAUGAUGGAAGAAUC
This 748-nucleotide unclassified non-coding RNA is filed under the name Hevea brasiliensis (rubber tree). The record is from RNAcentral. Lineage: Eukaryota; Viridiplantae; Streptophyta; Magnoliopsida; Malpighiales; Euphorbiaceae.